AGAGUUUGAUUCUGGCUCAGAUUGAACGCUGGCGGAAUGCUUUACACAUGCAAGUCGAACGGCAGCACGGGGGCGACCCUGGUGGCGAGUGGCGAACGGGUGAGUAACACAUCGGAACGCGUCCUGUAAUGGGGGAUAACCUGGCGAAAGCCAGGCUAAUACCGCAUACGUCCUGAGGGAGAAAGCGGGGGAUUGGCAACGACCUCGCGUUAUAGGAGUGGCCGAUGUCGGAUUAGCUAGUUGGUGGGGUAAAGGCCUACCAAGGCGACGAUCCGUAGCUGGUCUGAGAGGACGACCAGCCACACUGGAACUGAGACACGGUCCAGACUCCUACGGGAGGCAGCAGUGGGGAAUCUUGCGCAAUGGACGAAAGUCUGACGCAGCCAUGCCGCGUGAGUGAUGAAGGCCCUCGGGUCGUAAAGCUCUGUCCAAGGGGACGAAAAAGGUGUUGGUGAAUAUCCAGCAUCUCUGACGGUACCCUUGAAGAAAGCACCGGCUAACUCCGUGCCAGCCGCCGCGGUAA
This 523-nucleotide ribosomal RNA is filed under the name uncultured Rhodocyclaceae bacterium. RNAcentral's name for it is "bacterial SSU rRNA". It matches the Rfam family "Bacterial small subunit ribosomal RNA", at positions 8 to 523 of the family's 1533-position model. Lineage: Bacteria; Pseudomonadati; Pseudomonadota; Betaproteobacteria; Rhodocyclales; Rhodocyclaceae. The record is from RNAcentral.